GAGUUAGUGGCGGACGGGUGAGUAACGCGUGGGUAACCUGCCUCAUACAGGGGGAUAGCAGCUGGAAACGGCUGAUAAAACCGCAUAAGCGCACAGCAUCGCAUGAUGCAGUGUGAAAAACUCCGGUGGUAUGAGAUGGACCCGCGUCUGAUUAGCUGGUUGGUGAGGUAACGGCCCACCAAGGCGACGAUCAGUAGCCGGCCUGAGAGGGUGACCGGCCACAUUGGGACUGAGACACGGCCCAAACUCC
Molecule: ribosomal RNA, 250 nt
Filed under: uncultured Coprococcus sp.
Lineage: Bacteria; Bacillati; Bacillota; Clostridia; Lachnospirales; Lachnospiraceae
Description: partial 16S ribosomal RNA
Rfam family: Bacterial small subunit ribosomal RNA
Source: RNAcentral